GACCAAGAUGAUUCUUUAAAGGAGAACCGGGUAUUUAUGUGUGGAGAGAUUAACAUAUAACUAGCAAUAUGCUAGUGAAAAAUUUGUCCAAAAGUAAGUAAAGUUGUUCCCCUGAAGAUCAGUGUCUGCUCGGGGCAACUGUCAUGGACAUGGGAGAGUGUUGUGACUUGUGUGACAACAUAAGGUCAGAAAAGGUGACAGCAAGGUCACAAUGGAAGGGGCAGUCAAAUCCACCUAGGGAUGUUAAAGAAGAUAAGCCCUAAAUGAAGAACUGAAACAUUAUUAGGAUUUUUAUCAAGCACAACGUGGGAAUGAAUAUUCUAAGAAACAUGGAUAGAUGUAGCUCUGAGGCCUCUGUCAGUGUCAUAGGUGGAUGAAGCAAAAGCAAAGGAAAGGAAAGCCCAUACGGGAAAGAAAACGGUUCCGAAGACAUACUUCAUGCUCCAAACGGAAAUUUGAUACAGCCUCAUGGAACAGUUCUGAAACAAAAAACUAUGGGUCUAGAAUGGUGCUUUAUUAGCCAAAGAGUGCCUGAGAAUCGCUUCAGAAGCUUUCUGCAGAUGUCCUGAGUUCCUGCCCAGAGAGUCUGACCUAAGAGACGGAAGAAGGUCCCAGCAACCGUGCUCUGAAAGGGCUCUGCAUUCAAAGCAUGAAUGAGAAGUGGACUGGGUCCUAGACUGAGAGCUAACUGUCUAGCAUACAAGUCUCUGAUGACUGCUACCUUUCUUUUUUUCUCAACUAUCUAUCAGAAGUUCCAAAAACCUCCUAAAAUUAUUUCACCAUUAAUUACUUCCUUACUGUGGUAUACUCUGGGUCAAACUCGAACAAUGCCUGUACCAUUUACAUAUAAGCCGGCACUCAAAAUCACAGAGGUGGUGGAUUUUAUCCCUCUGAUAAACAUAACUCACUAGAAACAAAAAAUAAAUGUGGAGCUGGACUCACCCGUUCCACAGCCGCAUUAUGAUAUGGGAGCUCCUCCUCGCUGCAAAGGAAGAACAGUAUAUGUGAAAUAGUGGAGAUCACAGUAGCUUUUUAUUUUUAUUUAUUUAUUUUUUAAGCUUAUUUGAGAGAGAGCGAGCGAGCAAGAGAGAGAGUGCUUGCACGGAUGAGCAGGGACAGGGCAG
Molecule: long non-coding RNA, 1124 nt
Organism: Felis catus (domestic cat)
Lineage: Eukaryota; Metazoa; Chordata; Mammalia; Carnivora; Felidae
Exons: 3
Source: RefSeq, a predicted model, not a curated record